CCCAAAACUCCCCAAUUCCCCCCAAAACCCCCCAAACCCCCCAAAAUCCCCCCAAAAACCAGAAACCCCUCAAAACCCCAAAAAGCCCCCAAAUCACCCCAACCCCCCCCCAGGACGCGGGAGGUGCCAGGGGAGCUCUUUGACUACGAGGCCGUGCACAACAUCGACCCCCUGGGCACCGACUUCUGCGUCCGCUUCCGCGAGGGCAUGCGGCACUGGAACAUGACCGUGCAGUGGUGGCUGGCACACUACAUCCACCGCCGCGCCCCCCGCAGCCCCCCCCGUGCUGAGGAGCGCCUGCACCAUGCUGGUCUCGGCCUACUGGCACGGGCUGCACCCCGGCUACUACCUGAGCUUCCUGAGCGUGCCGCUGUGGCUGGCGGCCGAGCGGGCGGCCGAGAAGGCCCUGGGGGGGCUGCUGGCCCCGGGGGGGCCACCGCUGGCCCGCGGCCUGCAGUGGUUCCUGAAGAUGCGCGCCUACGACUACCUCUGCAUGGGCUUCGUGCUGCUGGGCGCCCGCCACACGCUGCGCUACUGGGCCUCCGUCGGCUUCUGCCUCCACCUCCUGCCCCUCCUCAUCCUCGCCGCCGCUGCCGUGGCGGGGCCACGCCAGAAAGUGGCCCAAAAGUGAGGGAAAGUGGCCCAAAAGUGAGGGAAAGUGGCCCAAGAUGGACCCCCAAGGGACGCAAAACACCACAAAAUGGACUCCAAAGGGACACAAAACAACACAAAGGACUCCAAAAUGCCCCAAAAUGGACUCCAAAGGGACACAAAACACCACAAAAUGGACUCCAAAAUGAUUAAAAGUACUCAAAACAAUCCCAAAGGACUCUAAAAUGCCCUGAAAUGGAUGCCAAGGGGACAGAAAAUGCCCCAAAGUGCUGAGAAUUGCCCCAAAA
RNAcentral lists this long non-coding RNA (899 nucleotides) under Anas platyrhynchos platyrhynchos (common mallard). RNAcentral describes it as "lncRNA (ENSAPLG00000018098.1)". The record is from RNAcentral. Lineage: Eukaryota; Metazoa; Chordata; Aves; Anseriformes; Anatidae.